RNAcentral lists this ribosomal RNA (496 nucleotides) under uncultured bacterium. RNAcentral describes it as "partial 16S ribosomal RNA". It matches the Rfam family "Bacterial small subunit ribosomal RNA", at positions 30 to 523 of the family's 1533-position model. The record is from RNAcentral.
AUUGAACGCUGGCGGAAUGCUUUACACAUGCAAGUCGAACGGUAGAGGGGGCAACCCCUCGAGAGUGGCGAACGGGUGAGUAAUAUAUCGGAACGUGCCCAGUCGUGGGGGAUAACGUAGCGAAAGUUACGCUAAUACCGCAUACGAUCUAAGGAUGAAAGCGGGGGAUCGCAAGACCUCGCGCGAUUGGAGCGGCCGAUAUCAGAUUAGGUAGUUGGUGGGGUAAAGGCUCACCAGGCCAACGAUCUGUAGCUGGUCUGAGAGGACGACCAGACACACUGGAACUGAGACACGGUCCAGACUCCUACGGGAGGCAGCAGUGGGGAAUUUUGGAAAAUGGACGCAAGUCUGAUCCAGCCAUUCCGCGUGCAGGAUGAAGGCCCUCGGGUUGUAAACUGCUUUUGUACGGAACGAAAAGGUCUCUCUUAAUACGGGGGGCUCAUGACGGUACCGUAAGAAUAAGCACCGGCUAACUACGUGCCAGCCGCCGCGGUAA